RNAcentral lists this ribosomal RNA (252 nucleotides) under Francisella tularensis subsp. holarctica. Its description in RNAcentral is "partial 16S ribosomal RNA". It matches the Rfam family "Bacterial small subunit ribosomal RNA", at positions 1205 to 1460 of the family's 1533-position model. The record is from RNAcentral. Lineage: Bacteria; Pseudomonadati; Pseudomonadota; Gammaproteobacteria; Thiotrichales; Francisellaceae.
CGACCAGGGCUACACACGAGCUACAAGGGGUAUUACAGAGGGCUGCGAAGGUGCGAGCUGGAGCGAAACUAAAAAAGGUACUCUUAGUCCGGAUUGCAGUCUGCAUCUCGACUGCAUGAAGUCGGAAUCGCUAGUAAUCGCAGGUCAGAAUACUGCGGUGUAUAAGUUCCCGGGUCUUGUACACAACGCCCGUCACACCAUGGGAGUGGGUUGCUACAGAAGUAGAUAGCUUAACUAAUGGGCGUUUACCAC